This 87-nucleotide transfer RNA is filed under the name Verrucomicrobium sp. Its description in RNAcentral is "tRNA-Ser". It matches the Rfam family "tRNA". Rfam says of the family: Transfer RNA (tRNA) molecules are approximately 80 nucleotides in length. Lineage: Bacteria; Pseudomonadati; Verrucomicrobiota; Verrucomicrobiia; Verrucomicrobiales; Verrucomicrobiaceae. The record is from RNAcentral.
GGGCAGGUGGCAGAGUGGUUGAAUGCGGCGGUCUUGAAAACCGCUUUGGCCGCAAGGCCAACGGGGGUUCGAAUCCCUCCCUGCCCG